AGAACGAACGCUGGCGGCGUGGAUAAGACAUGCAAGUCGAGCGAGAUUUUUUCUUGUAGCAAUACAGGGAAAAGUCUAGCGGCGAACGGGUGCUUAACACGUGGGCAAUCUGCCGAGAAGUGGGGGAUAGCUCGCCGAAAGGCGAAUUAAUACCGCAUGUGAUUAGAGUGGACAUCCAUUCAAAAUCAAAGUCGGGGCAACCUGACGCUUCUUGAGGAGCCCGCGGCCUAUCAGCUAGUUGGUGAGGUAACGGCCCACCAAGGCGACGACGGGUA
RNAcentral lists this ribosomal RNA (275 nucleotides) under uncultured bacterium. RNAcentral describes it as "partial small subunit ribosomal RNA". It matches the Rfam family "Bacterial small subunit ribosomal RNA", at positions 26 to 285 of the family's 1533-position model. The record is from RNAcentral.